GUGGAAUACUAGACAGAGUGGACAGUUACAUGUUUACUGGUGCACUUGCAUACUCCUUCAUCAAAACCUUCUUGAGACUUUAUGGAGUAUGAUGAGAUAUAUGGCCAACACCAAAAUGAGAUUUACCAGUGGGAAGAAUGGCUUCUCCUGUGGGUGGACGGACAAGUACUUCCUGAUUAUGGUUUGACAAAAACAAAGCGUGAAAUGGUGUAAGGAGUAAGUCCAUUUACUUAAAAGGAAUCUCAAAGGAAGGAGUAGAGACUGCACUUACAAGGUUACCAGGUCAAUCAAUAGUAGUUUGACCAAAUUCAUUGUUAUAACUUUCUAGAUUAGAAAUUUCAAUGAGAUCGGUUGUAGAAUGCCUUGUUCAUUUGGCGAGAGGAGCAGGUGAGGUAAAUCAGGUUCCUUUUGAUAACCAGAGGAGUCAUUGUUGGCUGCUAUUGUUGUAGUCUUUCCCAUGAGGCUGAUCCGCUGAUGGUGUCUUCCAAGUGUGCGUGUUCAGGAGAAAUAUACUGGAAUAAAUAUUUAAGAAGAUCAGUGAUGAUUUCAAAGUGUUAAUUCAUUACAAAUUUACUUGCUAUAAAUGUUUAAGAAGAUGAAUAAUUUUAAUUGCCGAAUCCAGUGAUUCUGAAAUACAGAAAUGAAUUUUCUCUUCUCUUUGCCAUGAAUUUGGUUGGCAUUAAUUAGUAGUUAGAAACUUUUCCAGGGAAUUUCCAUGAUAAUCAGAGAAAUAUUAAAUAUCUUAUUUUUAUGGUUGGUUGGUUUGAAGGAAGUGAAUUAAAUAAUAAUAUUAUUAUUAUGGUUGAUUAAUUGUAUUGAUUGGAGUGGUUUUUGAUGAUCAUAACCAUAGUCAGUCUGCACUAAUAUUAUUAUUUAUGAUAUUGCGUUUGGUAAGUAGUGUGUGAUAAUAAUAAUCUGGGUGGGUAAGAAAUGACUAGGAGAUGUCAUUAAUGCCGUUGAAAUCCAAACAGUUGCAGCUGGGAGUUGAUAUCCGAAAGCAAAAAGCUGCAUGCAUGAUUAGGCCGGUGGGGUAAACCAGACACUUUAUUUUUGUGUUAAAACUCUUAUCUUCUCAAUUUUAUCAUUAUGUCUCUCUCGGCUUCCCAUGUUGACCAAGGUCAGCUGUGGCUGGACAAGUCAGCAUUAAAGAAUUUUUGCUUUGGACAAUCAGGUAAAGCCCUUGGGCAUAAUCAUAAAUGCCGAAUAUAUAUAUAUAUAUAUAUAUAUAUAAAUAUAAUUUUCAUCACGUUUGGUUCGUUGUCUAAUUCAGUGUAUUAGAUAUAAAUAUGUUAUUUUUCAGGGGAAGGAUGAUGACAAAAAAUCCAGUGGAGCUGAGGAGAAAUUUGAAAAGAAAAGAAAAGAAAAGAAGGGCAAUAUGAAGUCAUUAUUAAUUUGUCAACGUUUUGUGAGGGCUGUGAUAGAGUAGUCCAAGCAAGGUCACCUCUUAUCCCAUUACCGAAAGGACUAAAUAAUUCAAAAAUUGCUCCACAAAACCACCACCAAAAGACAUGGUCCAGGUGACACAGGUUUGCCAUUUUCGUUUUCACGUGGACAUGUUCUAUUUAACUCCCAUCUUACCUUUAAUCUAUUAGUAAUUUUGAUUAAUUACAAUAACAAUAAAUACCCUUUAAAUUAUUAAUUUAUGGACACCAAUAAUAACAUCACAUAACAGUUUUUAAAUAAAAAUACAUAGAAUUUUUUAUAUAAAAAAAAAAUGGCACUAAGAAUUAAAUUAAAUAAUUAUUGAUAGAUGUGUAAGUAACUAUUUCUUAAAUAAAUUGAGAAUCUGACUUCUCAAUCUAUGUAAAAAUAUAAUAAUUUUAAGUGAUAUUAAUGUUCCAUCCUUUUGCAUUAAAAUAAAAGGUAAGAACAUACAACAGUCCAAAAUAGACAAAUAUAAUCAUGUGUGUGUGUAUGAUUUCAAAUAAUAAUUUCAAUUGGAAACUUAUUUAUGCAAUGAAAUCUAUGAGAUAAUAGAAAGGGGAAAGAAACAUAAGAAAGAAAGAAAAAGAAAUAAAUGUGUUGGGUUGAUGAGAGAUCAAAAAGAGAAAAAAGAAAGGACCAAAUGUGAUGUGUUGUUAUUGGAGGUCCAAGCUCAAGUGGCUUACUUUUGGUUUUUCCUUUUUUCUUAAAAAAAUAAAUAAAUAAAAUGCGUGGGAUAGAAAGAAGGCGUUGUUUGUAAGCUGACUAAAGAAAAAUGAAAACAAACAACACUCAAGGAAGCUUAAAGAAGAUACGGUGGACAGGCAUCUGUAAAAGUUGUUUAAUGAACAUUUCUUGCACACGCACACACCUCUACCACACCCCUCUCAAUCUCCUUUUUUCCUUUUCUUUUUCAUCUUAUAUUUCUUUCUACUUUUUUUUUUUUUUUUUUUAUAAAAAAAAUAUUUAUCUAUAUAUCUUAUAUAUAUAUAUAUAUAUAUAUCUUCCAUUCAUGGCUUGCAUCUUACUAAUGAUUUUAAUUAAUGAGCUGGAUCACUUAAAAGUCAUGUUGGAUUUGCAACAAGUUAAUUCCCAAGUCCAACAAGGGUAUUUAAUUAGGGCAGCUGCUAAUAUCCAUAUAUAUAUAUAUAUAUAUGUUUAUACUGUAAUUUUGUGAGACAUGCAAUUGGAAUGAAGAUUUGAGAUAAGUACAUGCAUAUUAUAAUCUUGAGAAUAUCUUAUGAUGAAUCUAGAUUUAUAUUCUUUUUAAAAUUAUUUCUGUGUAUUAGUUUGGUUGUUUUAUUUUUUAAUUUAUUAUUUGUUCUAUUAUAUAAAAGGACUUAUCAGAUUGCUUCAUUACUAAAAAAAUAUCAAUUUUCCAAGAUAUGAUGGUAUCUCUAGAUAUUUCUAUUUUUUAUUCUAUAUUUUUUCUAGCAGUUUUGGGAAGCCAAGUUUUAGGAAUGUGAUCUUGGGUAAGUAGGUGCAUAUAUAUGAUCAAGUGCCUUUCAAAGAAUUAUCCACCCAAAAGAUGCAGAUCAACUAUAUCUAUAUAUCUAUACAUAUAUGGUUAUUGUAUCAAAUGCUUCAACAAAGAGGCGCAUAUAUAAACUUUACACAAUUAAAAGAAUAUAAUUCUUGGUAUCGACCUUAUAACUAGGGAUCAAUUGGAUCAUAUCGUAUAUAUAUAUAUAUAUAUUGCAUUAUUGAAGAUGCAUCAAUUGCAGUAAAUAAUUCAAGAAACUUAAGAACAAAAAGGUUUAAACAUUAGUUUAUGUUCUUAAUCGAACACUUAUAAUAUUCUUUUUCUACAAAUUACCAUUAGUGCAUUAUAUGGUCCUCCAUUGUUCCUGUGCUUUUCCCAAAAACCUAUAGAAGAGAAGAGAUGCAUACAGUGUGUGUGUGUGUGUGGAUGUGUAUGCUGUGAGUUUAUUUGUUUGAAUUAGGGUUUAUAAUUAGUUAGUGACCCACGCACAGAAUUAUUUAGCUUUCGAGAAGACAAAAAGCUGUCAAAUACAUAUAUGUAUAUACAUAUGUGUGUUUGUAUAGCUGAAUCCUCAGUCCUAGGAGGCUUGUUGAAGACAAAAGUGGUUACCUCAAAUUCCUUAAUGAAAAGUUGUGUAUGAUUAUACUUUCCUGCCCCAUUUUUUUAGACCUUGGAGGAAAAGCU
This 3589-nucleotide long non-coding RNA is filed under the name Carica papaya (papaya). RNAcentral's name for it is "long non-coding RNA (CPAP_LNC001260)". The record is from RNAcentral. Lineage: Eukaryota; Viridiplantae; Streptophyta; Magnoliopsida; Brassicales; Caricaceae.